RNAcentral lists this long non-coding RNA (527 nucleotides) under Prunus dulcis (almond). RNAcentral's name for it is "sRNA ncRNA". The record is from RNAcentral. Lineage: Eukaryota; Viridiplantae; Streptophyta; Magnoliopsida; Rosales; Rosaceae.
AUGGAUAACUGUGAGAAUUUGGGUUUAGCUGUGGGUGUGAAGGGGCCAACGUGCAUAUGAUGUUUCCUCUCAUCAAAAGAUGCUUUAGCACUUUUUCCUCCUGUACACUCAAGUGCUAAAGAAAAGUCAAAGAAUUGCUACAGACAAAGGGAACAAAUUUGAAGAAAAUUUCCGGGUCUUUGAGUUGAGAAGUGGUUCUGUUAUAGCAGUAGCAAAACCCACCGAAAGAAUAAGCGAUAAGAUCUCUGCUCCUUUAUCUUCUCUAUUAUUUUAAUAUUAUAUUAUUUGAUUGUGGUGUUGAUAUGAACCCACAAAUAAUUGUCUUUACUUUAUUCAUUCCGCAAUUAUUUUAUUUACUAUAUGGUGUAGGUUUAUUACCCAUACAAGCACAUUUACUUUAUCGUAAAUUUACUUUAAAGGGUGGUGCGGGUUUAUCGUCCACGCCUUUACUGCUUUACUGUCAUUUAAAUGUAUGGAGCAGAAUUAGUGCCCAUACAAGCACAUUUACUUUAUCGCAAAUUUACUUU